Molecule: non-coding RNA, 226 nt
Organism: Pelobates cultripes (western spadefoot toad)
Lineage: Eukaryota; Metazoa; Chordata; Amphibia; Anura; Pelobatidae
Source: the annotation of a GenBank genome assembly
GUGUAAGGGAUGCAUUGUGUGUUUCUGUGUAUAUGUGCAAAGGAUGCAUUGUCUUUAUGUGUAAGGGUUGCAUUGUGUGUUUCUCUGUAUGUAAGGGAAGCAUGUUGUGUUUCUGUGUGUAUAGGGAUGCAUUGUGUGUGUGUGUGUGUGUGUGUGUGCGCGUGGUGUGAAAGAGCUCCCUGUCCUGCCCCCUGUCCUAAAGAGCUCUCCCUUCCAUCCCUUAGAG